GUGUGCCUAAUACAUGCAAGUCGAACGCGUUGGCCCAAUUGAUUGAUGGUGCUUGCACCUGAUUGAUUUUGGUCGCCAACGAGUGGCGGACGGGUGAGUAACACGUAGGUAACCUGCCCAGAAGCGGGGGACAACAUUUGGAAACAGAUGCUAAUACCGCAUAACAACGUUGUUCGCAUGAACAACGCUUAAAAGAUGGCUUCUCGCUAUCACUUCUGGAUGGACCUGCGGUGCAUUAGCUUGUUGGUGGGGUAACGGCCUACCAAGGCGAUGAUGCAUAGCCGAGUUGAGAGACUGAUCGGCCACAAUGGGACUGAGACACGGCCCAUACUCCUACGGGAGGCAGCAGUAGGGAAUCUUCCACAAUGGGCGCAAGCCUGAUGGAGCAACACCGCGUGAGUGAAGAAGGGUUUCGGCUCGUAAAGCUCUGUUGUUAAAGAAGAACACGUAUGAGAGUAACUGUUCAUACGUUGACGGUAUUUAACCAGAAAGUCACGGCUAACUACGUGCCAGCAGCCGCGGUAAUACGUAGGUGGCAAGCGUUAUCCGGAUUUAUUGGGCGUAAAGAGAGUGCAGGCGGUUUUCUAAGUCUGAUGUGA
This 599-nucleotide ribosomal RNA is filed under the name Limosilactobacillus ingluviei. RNAcentral describes it as "bacterial SSU rRNA". It matches the Rfam family "Bacterial small subunit ribosomal RNA", at positions 42 to 597 of the family's 1533-position model. Lineage: Bacteria; Bacillati; Bacillota; Bacilli; Lactobacillales; Lactobacillaceae. The record is from RNAcentral.